UUAUUUUGUUAUCAUAAAAGACGUUCUUGACUACAAUGUUUGUAAAGGUCCGAAGACCACGGUGCACAGGUGUAUGAAGGGAAAAGUGCUUGCGCACAUCUCUAAUGAUCCUUCCGCAGGUUCACCUACGGAAA
Molecule: unclassified non-coding RNA, 134 nt
Filed under: uncultured fungus
Lineage: Eukaryota; Fungi
Description: sequence contains ITS1
Source: RNAcentral